Molecule: ribosomal RNA, 434 nt
Filed under: uncultured Pseudobutyrivibrio sp.
Lineage: Bacteria; Bacillati; Bacillota; Clostridia; Lachnospirales; Lachnospiraceae
Description: partial 16S ribosomal RNA
Rfam family: Bacterial small subunit ribosomal RNA
Source: RNAcentral
ACGGAAGGCAGCAGUGGGGAAUAUUGCACAAUGGGCGAAAGCCUGAUGCAGCGACGCCGCGUGAGCGAAGAAGUAUUUCGGUAUGUAAAGCUCUAUCAGCAGGGAAGAUAAUGACGGUACCUGACUAAGAAGCACCGGCUAAAUACGUGCCAGCAGCCGCGGUAAUACGUAUGGUGCAAGCGUUAUCCGGAUUUACUGGGUGUAAAGGGAGCGUAGGCGGUUGUACAAGUCUGAUGUGAAAGCCCGGGGCUCAACUCCGGUACUGCAUUGGAAACUGUAUAACUAGAGUGUCGGAGGGGUAAGUGGAAUUCCUAGUGUAGCGGUGAAAUGCGUAGAUAUUAGGAGGAACACCAGUGGCGAAGGCGGCUUACUGGACGAUUACUGACGCUGAGGCUCGAAAGCGUGGGGAGCAAACAGGAUUAGAUACCCUGGUA